AACGAACGCUGGCGGCAGGCCUAACACAUGCAAGUCGAACGGGUGUAGCAAUACAUCAGUGGCGCACGGGUGAGUAACACGUGGGAACGUGCCCUUCACUACGGGACAACGUCGGGAAACUGACGCUAAUACCGUAUAAUGUCUCCGGACCAAAGAUUUAUCGGUGAAGGAUCGGCCCGCGUCUGAUUAGCUAGUUGGUGAGGUAAUGGCUCACCAAGGCGACGAUCAGUAGCUGGUUUGAGAGAAUGAUCAGCCACACUGGGACUGAGACACGGCCCAGACUCCUACGGGAGGCAGCAGUGAGGAAUCUUGGACAAUGGGCGCAAGCCUGAUCCAGCCAUGCCGCGUGAGUGAUGAAGGCCUUAGGGUUGUAAAGCUCUUUUGCCGGGGAUGAUAAUGACCGUACCCGGAGAAUAAGCCACGGCUAAAUUCGUGCCAGCCGCCGCCGUAA
This 451-nucleotide ribosomal RNA is filed under the name uncultured bacterium. Its description in RNAcentral is "partial 16S ribosomal RNA". It matches the Rfam family "Bacterial small subunit ribosomal RNA", at positions 29 to 523 of the family's 1533-position model. The record is from RNAcentral.